UACGUAGGGUGCGAGCGUUAAUCGGAAUUACUGGGCGUAAAGCGUGCGCAGGCGGUUUUGUAAGCCAGAUGUGAAAGCCCCGGGCUUAACCUGGGAAUGGCAUUUGGGACUGCAAGGCUUGAGUGCGGCAGAGGAGACUGGAAUUCCCGGUGUAGCAGUGAAAUGCGUAGAUAUCGGGAGGAAUACCGAUGGCGAAGGCAGGUCUCUGGGCUGACGCUGACGCUCAUGCACGAAAGCGUGGGGAGCAAACGGG
This 253-nucleotide ribosomal RNA is filed under the name uncultured bacterium. RNAcentral describes it as "partial 16S ribosomal RNA". It matches the Rfam family "Bacterial small subunit ribosomal RNA", at positions 524 to 776 of the family's 1533-position model. The record is from RNAcentral.